CGGGACGUGGCGCAGCCUGGUAGCGCACUUCACUGGGGGUGAAGGGGUCGUAGGUUCAAAUCCUAUCGUCCCGACCA
This 77-nucleotide transfer RNA is filed under the name Rhodospirillaceae bacterium. Its description in RNAcentral is "tRNA-Pro". It matches the Rfam family "tRNA". From Rfam's summary of the family: Transfer RNA (tRNA) molecules are approximately 80 nucleotides in length. Their secondary structure includes four short double-helical elements and three loops (D, anti-codon, and T loops). Lineage: Bacteria; Pseudomonadati; Pseudomonadota; Alphaproteobacteria; Rhodospirillales; Rhodospirillaceae. The record is from RNAcentral.